This 497-nucleotide ribosomal RNA is filed under the name uncultured bacterium. RNAcentral describes it as "partial 16S ribosomal RNA". It matches the Rfam family "Bacterial small subunit ribosomal RNA", at positions 28 to 507 of the family's 1533-position model. The record is from RNAcentral.
GAUGAACGCUGGCGGCGUGCCUAAUACAUGCAAGUCGAGCGAACAGACGAUGAUCUUGCUCCUCUGACGUUAGCGGCGGGCGGGUGAGUAACGCGUGUAUAACCUACCUAUAAGACUGGUAUAACUUCGGGAAACCGGAGCUAAUACCGGAUAAUAUAUUGAACCGCAUGGGUCAAUAGUGAAAUACGGUUGUUCUGUCACGUAUAGAUGGAUCCGCGCCGCAUUAGCUAGUUGGGAAGGUAACGGCUUAUCAAGGCUACGAUGCGUGGCCGACCUGAGAGGGUGAUCGGCCACACGGGAAGUGAGACAGGGACCAGACGCCUACGGGAGGGAGCAGUAGCGAAUCUUCCGCAAUGGGCGAAAGCAUGACGGAGCAAGGGCGCGUGAGUGAUGAAGGUCUUCGGAUCGUAAAACUCUGUUAUGAGGGAAGAACCAAUGUGUAAGUAAAUAUGCACGUAUUGACGGUAACUAAUAAGAAAGCCACGGCUAACUACGUG